GAUGAACGCUGGCGGCGUGCCUAAUACAUGCAAGUCGAGCGAACAGACGAGGAGCUUGCUCCUCUGACGUUAGCGGCGGACAGGUGAGUAACACGUGGAUAACCUACCUAUAAGACUGGGAUAACUUCGGGAAACCGGAGCUAAUACCGGAUAAUAUAUUGAACCGCAUGGUUCAAUAGUGAAAGACGGUUUUGCUGUCACUUAUAGAUGGAUCCGCGCCGCAUUAGCUAGUUGGUAAGGUAACGGCUUACCAAGGCAACGAUGCGUAGCCGACCUGAGAGGGUGAUCGGCCACACUGGAACUGAGACACGGUCCAGACUCCUACGGGAGGCAGCAGUAGGGAAUCUUCCGCAAUGGGCGAAAGCCUGACGGAGCAACGCCGCGUGAGUGAUGAAGGUCUUCGGAUCGUAAAACUCUGUUAUUAGGGAAGAACAAAUGUGUAAGUAACUAUGCACGUCUUGACGGUACCUAAUCAGAAAGCCACGGCUAACUACGU
This 496-nucleotide ribosomal RNA is filed under the name uncultured bacterium. RNAcentral describes it as "partial 16S ribosomal RNA". It matches the Rfam family "Bacterial small subunit ribosomal RNA", at positions 28 to 506 of the family's 1533-position model. The record is from RNAcentral.